Molecule: transfer RNA, 86 nt
Filed under: Candidatus Berkelbacteria bacterium
Lineage: Bacteria; Candidatus Berkelbacteria
Description: tRNA-Leu
Rfam family: tRNA
About the family: Transfer RNA (tRNA) molecules are approximately 80 nucleotides in length.
Source: RNAcentral
GCCCGGGUGCUGGAACUGGCAGACAGGCAUGGCUUAGGACCAUGUGCCCUCUGGGCGUGGAGGUUCGAGUCCUCUCCCGGGCACCA